Molecule: ribosomal RNA, 383 nt
Filed under: uncultured eukaryote
Lineage: Eukaryota
Description: partial 18S ribosomal RNA
Rfam family: Eukaryotic small subunit ribosomal RNA
Source: RNAcentral
CAAUAGCGUAUAUUAAAGUUGUUGCAGUUAAAAAGCUCGUAGUUGGAUUUCUGGUGGGAGCGAUCGGUCUGGCGCUUAGCGCGAGUACUUGCAUCGUCUCCGGCCAUCCUUGGAGAGAGUCUGUCUGGCAUUAAGUUGUCGGGCAGAGGAUCCUCAUCGUUUACUGUGAAAAAAUUAGAGUGUUCAAAGCAGGCUUAUGCCGUUGAAUAUAUUAGCAUGGAAUAAUAAGAUAGGACUUUGGUACUAUUUUGUUGGUUUGCGCACCAAAGUAAUGAUUAAUAGGGACAGUUGGGGGUAUUCGUAUUCCGUUGUCAGAGGUGAAAUUCUUGGAUUUACGGAAGACGAACUACUGCGAAAGCAUUUACCAAGGAUGUUUUCAUUAA